This 252-nucleotide ribosomal RNA is filed under the name uncultured bacterium. RNAcentral describes it as "partial 16S ribosomal RNA". It matches the Rfam family "Bacterial small subunit ribosomal RNA", at positions 524 to 776 of the family's 1533-position model. The record is from RNAcentral.
UACGUAGGGAGCAAGCGUUGUCCGGAAUCAUUGGGCGUAAAGCGCGCGUAGGUGGCUUCGUAAGUCCGUUGUGAAAGUCAAAGGCUCAACCUUUGAAAGCCGAUGGAUACUGUGAAGCUAGAGUACGGAAGAGGCGAGUGGAAUUCCUGGUGUAGCGGUGGAAUGCGCAGAUAUCAGGAGGAACACCGAUGCGAAGGCAGCUCGCUGGGACGGUACUGACGCUGAGGCGCGAAAGCGUGGGGAGCAAACAGG